Molecule: long non-coding RNA, 245 nt
Organism: Caretta caretta (loggerhead turtle)
Lineage: Eukaryota; Metazoa; Chordata; Testudines; Cheloniidae
Source: RefSeq, a predicted model, not a curated record
AUGGAACUUCAUGAGAGCUGUGGAAAACAGAAGAGACAGGUCCAUGUAGAGAUACUGAAAACACUGUGGGCCAUAUUCUGUCCAUGGGCAACCCUGCUGCCUUUAUUGUAUGAUGAAGGACAGAAUUCAGCUUACAGAAGGAAGAAAAGAUGAGAGAAAUCAGAGGAAAGGAAGUCAAAUGAGAGAGUCUUUCAAUUCGGGAAGAGCUUGGAAAGAUUCCAUAAUAUCCUGGUGCCCCAGCCCAA